Molecule: ribosomal RNA, 562 nt
Filed under: uncultured bacterium
Lineage: Bacteria
Description: bacterial SSU rRNA
Rfam family: Bacterial small subunit ribosomal RNA
Source: RNAcentral
CCUACGGGAGGCAGCAGUGGGGAAUCUUGCGCAAUGGGCGAAAGCCUGACGCAGCCAUGCCGCGUGAAUGAUGAAGGUCUUAGGAUUGUAAAAUUCUUUCACCGGGGACGAUAAUGACGGUACCCGGAGAAGAAGCCCCGGCUAACUUCGUGCCAGCAGCCGCGGUAAUACGAAGGGGGCUAGCGUUGCUCGGAAUUACUGGGCGUAAAGGGAGCGUAGGCGGAUAGUUUAGUCAGAGGUGAAAGCCCAGGGCUCAACCUUGGAAUUGCCUUUGAUACUGGCUAUCUUGAGUACGGAAGAGGUAUGUGGAACUCCGAGUGUAGAGGUGAAAUUCGUAGAUAUUCGGAAGAACACCAGUGGCGAAGGCGACGUACUGGUCCGUUACUGACGCUGAGGCUCGAAAGCGUGGGGAGCAAACAGGAUUAGAUACCCUGGUAGUCCACGCUGUAAACGAUGAGUGCUAGUUGUCGGCAUGCAUGCAUGUCGGUGACGCAGCUAACGCAUUAAGCACUCCGCCCGGGGAGUACGGUCGCAAGAUUUAAAACUUAAAGGAAAUUGACGG